This 467-nucleotide ribosomal RNA is filed under the name uncultured bacterium. Its description in RNAcentral is "partial 16S ribosomal RNA". It matches the Rfam family "Bacterial small subunit ribosomal RNA", at positions 29 to 507 of the family's 1533-position model. The record is from RNAcentral.
ACUAACGCUGGCGGCGUGCUUAACACAUGCAAGUCGAACGGAAAGGCCCUGCUUUUGUGGGGUGCUCGAGUGGCGAACGGGUGAGUAACACGUGAGUAACCUGCCCUUGACUUUGGGAUAACUUCAGGAAACUGGGGCUAAUACCGGAUAGGAGCUCCUGCUGCCUGGUGGGGGUUGGAAAGUUUCGGCGGUUGGGGAUGGACUCGCGGCUUAUCAGCUUGUUGGUGGGGUAGUGGCUUACCAAGGCUUUGCCGGGUAGCCGGCCUGAGAGGGUGACCGGCCACAUUGGGACUGCGAUACGGCCCAGACUCCUACGGGAGGCAGCAGUGGGGAAUAUUGCACAAUGGGCGGAAGCCUGAUGCAGCAACGCCGCGUGCGGGAUGCCGGCCUUCGGGUUGUAAACCGCUUUCGCCUGUGACGAAGCGUGAGUGACGGUAAUGGGUAAAGAAGCACCGGCUAACUACGUG